RNAcentral lists this ribosomal RNA (608 nucleotides) under uncultured Alternaria. RNAcentral describes it as "eukaryotic LSU rRNA". The stretch from base 237 to 390 matches the Rfam family "5.8S ribosomal RNA". The record is from RNAcentral. Lineage: Eukaryota; Fungi; Ascomycota; Dothideomycetes; Pleosporales; Pleosporaceae.
CUUGGUCAUUUAGAGGAAGUAAAAGUCGUAACAAGGUCUCCGUAGGUGAACCUGCGGAGGGAUCAUUACACAAUAUGAAAGCGGGCUGGAAUCCUUUGGGGUUUUACAGCCUUGCUGAAUUAUUCACCCGUGUCUUUUGCGUACUUCUUGUUUCCUUGGUGGGUUCGCCCACCAUAGGACAAACCAUUAAACCUUUUGUAAUUGCAAUCAGCGUCAGUAAAAAAAUUAAUAAUUACAACUUUUAACAACGGAUCUCUUGGUUCUGGCAUCGAUGAAGAACGCAGCGAAAUGCGAUAAGUAGUGUGAAUUGCAGAAUUCAGUGAAUCAUCGAAUCUUUGAACGCACAUUGCGCCCUUUGGUAUUCCAAAGGGCAUGCCUGUUCGAGCGUCAUUUGUACCCUCAAGCUUUGCUUGGUGUUGGGCGUCUUGUCUCCAGUUCGCUGGAGACUCGCCUUAAAGUAAUUGGCAGCCGGCCUACUGGUUUCGGAGCGCAGCACAAGUCGCGCUCUCUUCCAGCGAAGGUCAGCAUCCACAAAGCCUUUUUUCAACUUUUGACCUCGGAUCAGGUAGGGAUACCCGCUGAACUUAAGCAUAUCAAUAAGCGGAGGA